CCUACGGGUGGCAGCAGUGAGGAAUAUUGGUCAAUGGGCGGAAGCCUGAACCAGCCAAGUAGCGUGCAGGAUGACGGCCCUACGGGUUGUAAACUUCUUUUAUACGGGAAUAACGCGCCUUACGUGUAGGGCUUUGCAUGUACCGUAUGAAUAAGGACCGGCUAAUUCCGUGCCAGCAGCCGCGGUAAUACGGAAGAUCCGGGCGUUAUCCGGAUUUAUUGGGUUUAAAGGGUGCGCAGGCGGCAUGUCAAGCGUGCGGUGAAAUGUCCGGGCUCAACCCGGGCCUAGCAGCGCGAACUGGCGUGCUUGAGUCGGCGGAAAGCAGGCGGAAUGCGUGGGGUAGCGGUGAAAUGCUUAGAUAUGACGAAGAACCCCGAUUGCGAAGGCAGCUUGCUGCAGCGGAACUGACGCUGAGGCACGAAAGCGCGGGUAUCGAACAGGAUUAGAUACCCUAGUAGUC
RNAcentral lists this ribosomal RNA (460 nucleotides) under uncultured bacterium. RNAcentral's name for it is "partial 16S ribosomal RNA". It matches the Rfam family "Bacterial small subunit ribosomal RNA", at positions 338 to 795 of the family's 1533-position model. The record is from RNAcentral.